This 238-nucleotide long non-coding RNA is filed under the name Nicotiana benthamiana. Its description in RNAcentral is "long non-coding RNA (NBEN_LNC020507)". Lineage: Eukaryota; Viridiplantae; Streptophyta; Magnoliopsida; Solanales; Solanaceae. The record is from RNAcentral.
UCAAAGGUCACUUGAACUCCUUUCGCCUGGCUGGUAACUCUGCCAUCCUUAUCCUUUAAAUUUGCCAUGAAUUCAAUAAUCCCAUUCCUACCUAGCCUUCUAUCCAUCUGAAGGACCAUCAGCUUCUACCCUUGAACAACUAAGGCAUCCACCAAUCUAACAAUUCCUAGUUACACCAAGUCUUUCAGCAAUCUGCCAUUCAAAAAUAUUCUUUUGCCAAACUUGACCAGCUUGUCUU